This 30-nucleotide small RNA is filed under the name Bombyx mori (domestic silkworm). RNAcentral describes it as "ovarian small RNA-14632". The record is from RNAcentral. Lineage: Eukaryota; Metazoa; Arthropoda; Insecta; Lepidoptera; Bombycidae.
CUACUGCUUCUUAAUAUCGGCCACCCGUUG